ACAAAAAAAUCGACUCCCUUUCGGGAGCCUCUUUCAUGGGAGAGGAGAAACCGGACGAAGAGCUUAUGGGGAAACGUAAGCCUGCUCCGCGG
This is a non-coding RNA of Paenibacillus sp. IHB B 3415, 92 nucleotides long. Lineage: Bacteria; Bacillati; Bacillota; Bacilli; Caryophanales; Paenibacillaceae. The record is from Rfam.